GGGCGAUUAGCUCAGGUGGUUAGAGCGCACCCCUGAUAAGGGUGAGGUCCGAGGUUCAAGUCCUCGAUCGCCCA
Molecule: transfer RNA, 74 nt
Filed under: Egibacter rhizosphaerae
Lineage: Bacteria; Bacillati; Actinomycetota; Nitriliruptoria; Egibacterales; Egibacteraceae
Rfam family: tRNA
About the family: Transfer RNA (tRNA) molecules are approximately 80 nucleotides in length.
Source: Rfam by way of RNAcentral